CCGGCCUGCCCGGUGGCUUUCUUGCUAAACGGCUGCAGUACUCUGACUGUGCAAAGGUAGCAUAAUCAAUUGCCUAUUAAUUGUAGGCUAGUAUCAAUGGUUAGACGAUAAAAACACUGUCUCCUUCCUUUAAUCUCGAAUUUCUCUUAAAGGUGAAGAGACCUUUGAGAAUUAGUAGGACGAGAAGACCCUAUUGAGCUUUAGGUUAAAGUAUUAGCUUAGUUAAAACUUAACCUUGGGUUGGGGCAACUAUCUAUUUUGUUUAACAUAGAUAAACUUAGAUUGUAUUGAAUCUUUUUUUGACCCAGGAUAAUCCUGAUUAUUGGAAAAAGUUACCUUAGGGAUAACAGCGUAAUUUUUCUUAAUAGUUCAUAUUGCCAGAAAAGUUUGCGACCUCGAUGUUGGAUCAAGGUUGCCUGGAGGUGCAGCAGCUUCCAAGGGUUGGUUUGUUCAACCAUAAAAAUCUUACGUGAUCUGAGUUCAAAACCGGC
Molecule: ribosomal RNA, 491 nt
Filed under: Ophiolepis cincta
Lineage: Eukaryota; Metazoa; Echinodermata; Ophiuroidea; Amphilepidida; Ophiolepididae
Description: partial 16S ribosomal RNA
Rfam family: Bacterial large subunit ribosomal RNA
Source: RNAcentral